This 1212-nucleotide ribosomal RNA is filed under the name metagenome. Its description in RNAcentral is "bacterial SSU rRNA". It matches the Rfam family "Bacterial small subunit ribosomal RNA", at positions 8 to 1218 of the family's 1533-position model. The record is from RNAcentral.
AGAGUUUGAUCCUGGCUCAGGACGAACGCUGGCGGCGUGCUUAACACAUGCAAGUCGAGCGGGGAUGCCGUUGGAAGUCCUUCGGGAUGGAAGACGGUAUUCUAGCGGCGGACGGGUGAGUAACGCGUGAACAAUCUGUCCCAGACAGGGGGAUAACAGAUGGAAACAUCUGCUAAUACCGCAUAAGACCACGGGAUCACAUGGUUCCGAGGUAAAAGGAGCAAUCCGGUCUGGGGUGAGUUCGCGUCCGAUUAGCUAGUUGGCGAGGUAACGGCCCACCAAGGCGACGAUCGGUAGCCGACCUGAGAGGGUGAUCGGCCACAUUGGAACUGAGAGACGGUCCAAACUCCUACGGGAGGCAGCAGUGGGAAUAUUGGCAAUGGGCGAAAGCCUGACCCAGCAACGCCGCGUGAGUGAAGAAGGCUUUCGGGUUGUAAAGCUCUGUCCUAGGGGACGAAGGAAGUGACGGUACCCAAGGAGGAAGCCCCGGCUAACUACGUGCCAGCAGCCGCGGUAAUACGUAGGGGGCGAGCGUUGUCCGGAAUGACUGGGCGUAAAGGGCGUGUAGGCGGCCGAUUAAGUGUGGAGUGAAAGUCCUGCUUUUAAGGUGGGAAUUGCUUUGCAGACUGGUUGGCUUGAGUGCGGAAGAGGUAAGUGGAAUUCCCAGUGUAGCGGUGAAAUGCGUAGAGAUUGGGAGGAACACCAGUGGCGAAGGCGACUUACUGGGCCGUAACUGACGCUGAGGCGCGAAAGCGUGGGGAGCGAACAGGAUUAGAUACCCUGGUAGUCCACGCUGUAAACGAUGAAUGCUAGGUGUUGCGGGUAUCGACCCCUGCAGUGCCGGAGUAAACGCAAUAAGCAUUCCGCCUGGGGAGUACGGCCGCAAGGUUGAAACUCAAAGGAAUUGACGGGGGCCCGCACAAGCAGCGGAGCAUGUUGUUUAAUUCGAAGCAACGCGAAGAACCUUACCAUGUCUUGACAUCGAGGAAAAGGUCUAGAGAUAGGCUGUGCCUUCGGGCGUCCGAAGACAGGUGGUGCAUGGUUGUCGUAAGCUCGUGUCGUGAGAUGUUGGGUUAAGUCCCGCAACGAGCGCAACCCUUAUGGUCAGUUACUAACGGGUAAAGCCGAGGACUCUGACAAGACUGCCGGGGACAACUCGGAGGAAGGUGGGGACGACGUCAAAUCACCAUGCCCCUUAUGACAUGGGCUACA